AGUGAACGCUGGCGGUAGGCCUAACACAUGCAAGUCGAACGGCAGCACAGUAAGAGCUUGCUCUUACGGGUGGCGAGUGGCGGACGGGUGAGGAAUACAUCGGAAUCUACUUUUUCGUGGGGGAUAACGUAGGGAAACUUACGCUAAUACCGCAUACGACCUACGGGUGAAAGCAGGGGAUCUUCGGACCUUGCGCGAUUGAAUGAGCCGAUGUCGGAUUAGCUAGUUGGCGGGGUAAAGGCCCACCAAGGCGACGAUCCGUAGCUGGUCUGAGAGGAUGAUCAGCCACACUGGAACUGAGACACGGUCCAGACUCCUACGGGAGGCAGCAGUGGGGAAUAUUGGACAAUGGGCGGAAGCCUGAUCCAGAAAUACCGCGUGGGUGACGAAGGCCUUCGGGUUGUAAAGCCCUUUUGUUGGGAAAGAAAAGAAGCAGGUUAAUACCCCGCUGUUCUGACGGUACCCAAAGAAUAAGCACCGGCUAACUUCGUG
This 492-nucleotide ribosomal RNA is filed under the name uncultured bacterium. Its description in RNAcentral is "partial 16S ribosomal RNA". It matches the Rfam family "Bacterial small subunit ribosomal RNA", at positions 29 to 507 of the family's 1533-position model. The record is from RNAcentral.